UCGCACCUACGGGACGCAGCAGUCGGGAAUAUUGCGCAAUGGAGGAAACUCUGACGCAGUGACGCCGCGUAUAAGAAGAAGGUUUUCGGAUUGUAAACUAUUGUCGUUAGGGAAGAUAAAAGACUGUACCUAAGGAGGAAGCCCCGGCUAACUAUGUGCCAGCAGCCGCGGUAAUACAUAGGGGGCAAGCGUUAUCCGGAAUUAUUGGGUGUAAAGGGUGAGUAGACGGAAGAACAGGUUGGUUGUGAAAU
This 251-nucleotide ribosomal RNA is filed under the name uncultured bacterium. RNAcentral describes it as "partial 16S ribosomal RNA". It matches the Rfam family "Bacterial small subunit ribosomal RNA", at positions 331 to 600 of the family's 1533-position model. The record is from RNAcentral.